UGGGGAAUAUUGCACAAUGGGCGCAAGCCUGAUGCAGCCAUGCCGCGUGUAUGAAGAAGGCCUUCGGGUUGUAAAGUACUUUCAGUCGGGAGGAAGGUGUCAAGGUUAAUAACCUUGGCAAUUGACGUUACCGACAGAAGAAGCACCGGCUAACUCCGUGCCAGCAGCCGCGGUAAUACGGAGGGUGCAAGCGUUAAUCGGAAUUACUGGGCGUAAAGCGCACGCAGGCGGUUUGUUAAGUCAGAUGUGAAAUCCCCGGGCUCAACCUGGGAACUCCAUCUGAUACUGGCAAGCUUGAGUCUCGUAGAGGGGGGUAGAAUUCCAGGUGUAGCGGUGAAAUGCGUAGAGAUCUGGAGGAAUACCGGUGGCGAAGGCGGCCCCCUGGACGAAGACUGACGCUCAGGUGCGAAAGCGUGGGGAGCAAACAGG
Molecule: ribosomal RNA, 429 nt
Filed under: Chloroflexota bacterium
Lineage: Bacteria; Bacillati; Chloroflexota
Description: Chloroflexi bacterium partial 16S ribosomal RNA
Rfam family: Bacterial small subunit ribosomal RNA
Source: RNAcentral